RNAcentral lists this long non-coding RNA (480 nucleotides) under Homo sapiens (human). Its description in RNAcentral is "HSALNT0355542". Lineage: Eukaryota; Metazoa; Chordata; Mammalia; Primates; Hominidae. The record is from RNAcentral.
GAGAAAUCAUAGAUUUUUAUAAAAUGAAAGCUGCCUCUGAAGCACUGCAGACUCAGCUGAGCACCGAUACAAAGAAAGACAAACAUCUAACAAUUUGGACAAGACAGCAAAUGCUAUUGUCCAAGUUUUCUAAAGAAGAAUCUGAAGUGAAAUGACAUCAAGAGACCUAUCAAGACCUGUAUCCAGGAAAAGGUUUAUAUGUGGAAGAGACUUGCCCUGUCUCAGGAAUUAGAGAAAGAACAAAUCAGUGUGAAGGAGAAUUGUCAGUAAAAUUACAAGAAAAGAUUGAGAUCAUAAUUGACCUUUGAGGAUAAUAAAAUUUAAAGACCAAAAGGAUGGACUUCACAGAAACAUGACCUUAGGUUGUUUUUGCAGUUGUAGUAACUGGUUAUAUGACCAACAAAAUAUGAAGAAUGGGUACAAAUUCUGAUAGUAAUGAUCAGUCACUUUGCAAAUAUAAAGUUACUAUUUACUACUGUA